GUGCUUGCUUCAGCAGCACACAUACUAAAAUUGGAAUGAUACAGAGAAAAUUAGCAUGGCCCCUAAGCAAGGAUGACAUGCAAAUUCAUGAAGAGUUCCAUAUUUUA
This is a small nuclear RNA of Heterocephalus glaber (naked mole-rat), 107 nucleotides long. NCBI's taxonomy places the organism in Eukaryota, Metazoa, Chordata, Mammalia, Rodentia, Bathyergidae. The record is from Ensembl.